Molecule: ribosomal RNA, 465 nt
Filed under: uncultured bacterium
Lineage: Bacteria
Description: bacterial SSU rRNA
Rfam family: Bacterial small subunit ribosomal RNA
Source: RNAcentral
CCGCCAGACUCCUACGGGAGGCAGCAGUGAGGAAUAUUGGUCAAUGGGCGAUCUCCUGAACCAGCCCCGUCGCGUGAGGGAGUACUGCCCUAUGGUUUUUAAACCUCUUUUUUCGGGGAGCACCCGCCGGACGUGUCCUUCUGUGAGAGUCCCCGCAGAAAAAUCCUCUUCUAACUCCUUGCCCGCAGCCGCUUUCCUACGGAGGCUGCUCUCGUUAUCCGGAUUUAUUGGGUUUAAAGGGUGCGCAGGCGGAGUUUUAAGUCGGGGGUCAAAUCGGGGGGCUCAACCCCAUCCAGCCGUUGAAACUGGGGAUCUAGAGUGUGCGAGAGGGAUGCGGAAUGCGUGGUGUAGCGGUGAAAUGCAUAGAGAGAAAGCAGAACCCCGAUGGCGAAGGCAGCAUACCGGUGCACAACUGACGCUCAGGCACGAAAGCGUGGGGAGCGAACAGGAUUAGAUACCCCUGUA